GUGCCAGCAGCCGCGGUAAUACGAAGGGGGCAAGCGUUGUUCGGAAUUACUGGGCGUAAAGGGCGCGUAGGCGGCCGAUCAAGUCAGGCGUGAAAUUCCCGGGCUCAACCUGGGGGCUGCGCUUGAUACUGAUUGGCUUGAAUGCGGGAGAGGAUAGUGGAAUUCCCAGUGUAGAGGUGAAAUUCGUAGAUAUUGGGAAGAACACCAGUGGCGAAGGCGGCUAUCUGGCCCGUUAUUGACGCUGAGGCGCGAAAGCGUGGGGAGCAAACAGGAUUAGAUACCCGUGUAGUCC
Molecule: ribosomal RNA, 292 nt
Filed under: uncultured bacterium
Lineage: Bacteria
Description: partial 16S ribosomal RNA
Rfam family: Bacterial small subunit ribosomal RNA
Source: RNAcentral